This 70-nucleotide transfer RNA is filed under the name Loxodonta africana (African savanna elephant). It matches the Rfam family "tRNA". Rfam says of the family: Transfer RNA (tRNA) molecules are approximately 80 nucleotides in length. Their secondary structure includes four short double-helical elements and three loops (D, anti-codon, and T loops). The record is from Rfam by way of RNAcentral. Lineage: Eukaryota; Metazoa; Chordata; Mammalia; Proboscidea; Elephantidae.
GCAGUGGUAGUUCAGUGGUAGAAUUCUUACCUUCCAUGCAGGGGACUCAGUUCUAUUCCUGACCAAUGCU